GACGUGACUUCAGAGUUUGAUCCUGGCUCAGGAUGAACGCUGGCGGCGUGCUUAACACAUGCAAGUCGAACGAAGCACUUAUGAAAGAUUCUUCGGAUGAUGGAUUAAGUGACUGAGUGGCGGACGGGUGAGUAACGCGUGGGUAACCUGCCUCAUACAGGGGGAUAACAGUUAGAAAUGACUGCUAAUACCGCAUAAGCGCACAGUAUCGCAUGAUACCGUGUGAAAAACUCCGGUGGUAUGAGAUGGACCCGCGUCUGAUUAGCUAGUUGGUGAGGUAACGGCUCACCAAGGCGACGAUCAGUAGCCGGCCUGAGAGGGUGAACGGCCACAUUGGGACUGAGACACGGCCCAA
RNAcentral lists this ribosomal RNA (355 nucleotides) under uncultured bacterium. Its description in RNAcentral is "bacterial SSU rRNA". It matches the Rfam family "Bacterial small subunit ribosomal RNA", at positions 1 to 334 of the family's 1533-position model. The record is from RNAcentral.